UGCUAUGUGUCAGGCACUGAGCUACAUGUUAGAGAGUCAGUACUAGGCAAAAUAGACAUGGUCUAUGACCUCACAAUGCUUACAGUCUCACAGGAAAGCCAAGACUAACACUUAAAGCAAUAAAGUAUAACUGCUAAUAUUUUAAAAAGUCAAGGGAAAGCCUAAGGAAGGAAUAUUUAAAAGCUCAGACUAUGGAUAAAUAUGUUAGUUAGACAAGGGAGGGGAAGGAAGAUAAGGAAAUGAGAAAGAGCUUCUGCAGGGAGAGAAAGGAACCCUGCCCCUACUACCACAACAUCACCCAGAAAAACUCUACAAAUACUCCCCCUGCCGAGUGGAGUCUGACCCAUCGCACCAGCGCAAAGCGUCCUUUUCAGAGCAUGCUUGAUCUCCUGUCGAAGCUCUGUCUCAUUCCUCAGGCGGCUCUGCGUGGUUUAAUACACAGUUACAUACAUUACAUGGUGUCAGACUCAUGAACUCAGUUGCUGACUAAGAAUAAAUAUUGUCUCACAGCUGUUAGAAAGGUUCA
This 526-nucleotide long non-coding RNA is filed under the name Vulpes vulpes (red fox). RNAcentral's name for it is "lncRNA (ENSVVUG00000021902.1)". The record is from RNAcentral. Lineage: Eukaryota; Metazoa; Chordata; Mammalia; Carnivora; Canidae.